Molecule: ribosomal RNA, 205 nt
Filed under: uncultured bacterium
Lineage: Bacteria
Description: partial 16S ribosomal RNA
Rfam family: Bacterial small subunit ribosomal RNA
Source: RNAcentral
GAUUGCAGGCUGNAACCCGCCUGCAUGAAGUCGGAAUUGCUAGUAAUCGCGGAUCAGCAUGCCGCGGUGAAUACGUUCCCGGGCCUUGUANACACCGCCCGUCACACCAUGGGAGCCGGUAAUACCCGAAGUCAGUAGUCCAACCUCGUGAGGACGCUGCCGAAGGUAGGAUUGGCGACUGGGGGUGAAGUCGUAACAAGGUAAC